This is a long non-coding RNA of Notolabrus celidotus (New Zealand spotty), 1173 nucleotides long. RefSeq lists it as uncharacterized. The record is from RefSeq and is a predicted model, not a curated record. Lineage: Eukaryota; Metazoa; Chordata; Actinopteri; Labriformes; Labridae. The transcript has 3 exons.
UUAGUGUUCCAGACAGCAUGGAAACAGAGAGCACCUUAGAAUAAGCUCCAGAGAAGUCUAGAGAGGACUACGUUCAUUUAAAUAUGAAUGUUUAUUGUAAAGAAACUAAAAGGACUACAAGUGAAAAGAAGGUGAGCAGCCUGCGAGAUGGAUGUUUCUACAUUGGAGUCCAUGGGAAUCGACUCACUUUUGGAGCCAGCCUCUAGUGGCCACUCAGCGAACUGCAGCUUUGGGCGCUGAUGCAUCGGCUUCAUUCUUCUCCUUCAACGUUUGCUGCUUUGGACUCUGAUCUCUUUCACGUGGACCUCACCUGUUCAGCCUCAGCAUCCUUCUCCUCAGCCUGUCCAUCCCAGAUUCUGGACUCUCACACACGAAACGCCUCAAACUGUGACAACAUGUCCCUGAGGCGGUGUCCCACGAUGGGUCUGUCUCCUGUGGGGUCUUGGUGAAAAGGCGAGCACACCAGGAGAUGCAUUAUGCAGAUGUUCUGGUUUUUACCAGUGGUCAUGGUCAAAAUGGAAGAGACAAAGUGUCCCCAUAGUGGCUCAACUCAACUCUUUAACCCUGUUGUGCUUCCCUGUCUUCUUCUGUGUCCUUCAGUGGGUUGAUUUUUUGAGGCUGAUGUCCAGCUAGCGUCUGUUUUUCCUUCUGAUUGCCCGUUCUGCUUUCCUCUGAUUUCCUACAGUAAAAAAAAAAUGUUCAUCUUGGCUCAAAACCCCCGCACAAGCCUCUGUCACUGUCCACACAGCGGCCCAGUCACGUACGAGGAGAGAGGCGUGACCGAACACAAACCUCCACACUCGACAUCAACGCUGAACUCCUCACCCACAAACUCUCACGGAUCCACAUAAAAACCAGAGGCCAGUCCUCCAACGCUGUGCGACUUCAACCUUGUGCUGACUUUCUCAGAUAGCUCUAUCAAAGCGGGCAGACACGAGAGUCAGAGCUUUCAAACGGCCUGUUCAGAAAAAAAAAAGGAACUGGAGCUUUUUCAGUGUGGAAAUAAUGCUUUGUGGUCACGGGGUCUUAGUGGGUCUUGGUCCACUGUGGAUCAUGGAAAUGUGUCUGAGCAAAAGCUGCUGCUGUUUCAGUUUAUUCAAAGUGUUUUUUAUUGUCCAGGGGUUCCCAAAGUGUGGGUCAAGACCCCCUGGGGGGUCAUGAGAUGUCUUCCAG